Cryptotermes secundus is the source of this 224-nucleotide long non-coding RNA. RefSeq lists it as uncharacterized. The transcript is spliced from 3 exons. Lineage: Eukaryota; Metazoa; Arthropoda; Insecta; Blattodea; Kalotermitidae. The record is from RefSeq and is a predicted model, not a curated record.
AUGUUGGCUGUCGUCUCCAUUCUACAUCUGGAGCUUCGCUGGUCCGGUGCUGCUGCUGUGCGCGAUAAACACCUCGGUACUUAUACUGGCUCUGCGGGAGGCAGUGUUUGCAGGUCUCAGCCAGGGGAAAUCGAAAACGGAGACCGUCUGGAUCUGGAUACGAGGGUGGUUCUCGCUGUCCGCUCUCCUGGGCAUAACGUGGCUGUUUGGACUCGCCUACAUGG